This 1168-nucleotide long non-coding RNA is filed under the name Equus caballus (horse). RNAcentral describes it as "lncRNA (ENSECAG00000060342.1)". The record is from RNAcentral. Lineage: Eukaryota; Metazoa; Chordata; Mammalia; Perissodactyla; Equidae.
AUUCGAUCUGGUUUAGAAGGAGAAGAUGACAGCAGAGUGAGAAGCAGGGAAGUGGGUGCUGGCAGAAAGAGAAAGGCCAUCUUCUCUGCCUCUGAGCCUGGGUAACAUUCCAGCUCUGUACUCAUUGCACCCCUCUGAGUAUCCAUCUUUUUAUCCAUAAGAUGACAGUGUUGAUCUUCAAGGCCACAUCCACCUCUAACAUCGCUCAUUUCCUAGGGGAGGAAGCAAGAAGGAUUGGGGGCCGUGAAAGGCCACAGUGGUCUGGAGGACAAUAUAUCAACGAAAUCCUGUAAGGACAGGUCUCCCAUUCUAGAUGAGUCUGCAAUCAACAGCUCCUCCAAAACCAUGCCGGCACUUUCAGUGGCCGCAUCUGAUGGGCACUGGAUGGGACCUGUUGCUCUUGGUCCAGGUGAGACCAUAGCUGAUGGCCUUCCCGAAACAACCCAGGAAAAAGCUCCAAGAGGAAUAGUUAGAAUCACGAAGAGAUUGCGACUUGGCCUGAAGUGGAAGGGAUGCCUACCACAGCAUGGCUUGCCAAGCGGUGCCAUGUCCGCACCCGGGAUCCAAACCGGCGAACCCCAGGCCACUGAGAAGCGGAACAUGUGAACUUGACUGCUGUGCCACCGGACUGGCCCAGAGCCUCUGCUUUUAAGGCCCGCUGGAUAAUACAGGAUAAUGUCCCCAUCAAGGUCCAUAAUCUUAAUCACAUCUAUGAUGUCUCUUUGCCAAGUUAGUAACGUAUUCACAGGGCCUGGGGGUUAGGACAUAGAUCUCUUUUGGGGGGAGGGCCUUUAUUCUGCCUAUUAUACUGAUUGUUAAAAAAUCUUCUCCACUUAGCUUCUAGAAUUCCGCUCUUUUCCUCUCUUUGCUCCUAUUAAACUGUCUUCAGCCUUCUUUACUGGAUCUUCCUCCUGAUCUCAACUUUUAAAGGCCAGAGGCAACUUAGCUCAGUCCUCAGACCUCUACACUCACUCUCUAGGAAUCUCCUUCAGGUCAUCGGCCCCACACAAAUCCUCAGCUUUUUGUCUCCAGUCUCAGUCUCUCUCCUGAGCUCCAGAUUCAAGACUAUCAAAAUAUCUGCUUGACAUCUCCUCUUUCCUGGCUAAUAGACACCUCCAACUUAACACGUCCAAAACGGAACUCCGAAUUUUACCCAAAUAUCCUCUCC